RNAcentral lists this ribosomal RNA (585 nucleotides) under Penicillium paneum. RNAcentral describes it as "eukaryotic LSU rRNA". The stretch from base 207 to 359 matches the Rfam family "5.8S ribosomal RNA". The record is from RNAcentral. Lineage: Eukaryota; Fungi; Ascomycota; Eurotiomycetes; Eurotiales; Aspergillaceae.
CUUCCGUAAGGGGACCUGCGGAAGGAUCAUUACCGAGUGAGGGCCCUCUGGGUCCAACCUCCCACCCGUGUUUAUUUACCUUAUUGCUUCGGCGGGCCCGCCUUCACUGGCCGCCGGGGGGCUCACGCCCCCGGGCCCGCGCCCGCCGAAGACACCCCGAACUCUGUCUGAAGAAUGAAGUCUGAGUGAAAAUAUAAAUUAUUUAAAACUUUCAACAACGGAUCUCUUGGUUCCGGCAUCGAUGAAGAACGCAGCGAAAUGCGAUACGUAAUGUGAAUUGCAAAUUCAGUGAAUCAUCGAGUCUUUGAACGCACAUUGCGCCCCCUGGUAUUCCGGGGGGCAUGCCUGUCCGAGCGUCAUUGCUGCCCUCAAGCCCGGCUUGUGUGUUGGGCCUCGUCCUCCGAUUCCGGGGGACGGGCCCGAAAGGCAGCGGCGGCACCGCGUCCGGUCCUCGAGCGUAUGGGGCUCUGUCACCCGCUCUGUAGGCCCGGCCGGCGCUUGCCGAUCAACCCAAAUUUUUAUCCAGGUUGACCUCGGAUCAGGUAGGGAUACCCGCUGAACUUAAGCAUAUCAAUAAGCGGAGGA